UGGACCGAUGAUGACUGGUGGCAUAUGAGUAAAAGGUGAUAAAUAAUAUGUGUCUUGAACUCUGAGGUCCAA
Molecule: small nucleolar RNA, 72 nt
Organism: Nycticebus coucang (slow loris)
Lineage: Eukaryota; Metazoa; Chordata; Mammalia; Primates; Lorisidae
Product: small nucleolar RNA SNORD113/SNORD114 family
Exons: 1
Source: RefSeq, a predicted model, not a curated record